GCGUCUCUGUGUUCCAGGGCCAGUGCUCUUCUGGGUGAUCCUGGUGCUGGCUGUGGUGGUCGGCUCCAGCGCCUUCCUCCUGUGCCACCGGAGGGCCUGCAGGAAGCGAAUUCGGCAGAAGCUCCACCUGUGCUACCCGGUCCAGACCUCCCAGCCCAAGCUAGAGCUUGUGGAUUCCAGACCCAGGAGGAGCUCAACAAGAAAAUCUACAUCAUGAAGGCUGACACCGUGAUCGUGGGGACUGUGAAGGCUGAGCUGCCGGAGGGCCGGGGCCUGGCAGGGCCAGCAGAGCCCGAGUUGGAGGAGGAGCUGGAGGUGGACCAUACCCCCCACUACCCCGAGCAGGAGACAGAACCGCCUCUGGGCAGCUGCAGCGACGUCAUGCUCUCAGUGGAAGAGGAAGGGAAAGAAGACCCCUUGCCCACAGCCGCCUCUGGAAAGUGAGGCCUGGGCUGGGCUGGGGCUAGGAGGGCAGCAGGGUGGCCUCUGGGAGGCCAGGAUGGCACUGUUGGCACCAAGGUUGGGGGCAGAGGCCCGUCUGGCCUGGACUGAGGUUCCAGCAUCUAGUGGUGGACCGGCCGGUCAUUGCAGGGGUCUGGUGGUCUCUGCUUGCAUCCCCCACUUAGCUGUCCCCUGACCCAGAGCCUAGGGGAUCCGGGGCUUAUACAGAAGAGACAGUCCAAGGGGACUGGAUCCCAGCAGUGAUGUUGGUUGAGGCAGCAAACAGAUGGCAGGAUGGGCACUGCCGAGAACAGCAUUGGUCCCAGAGCCCUGGGCAUCAGACCCUCACCACCAGGCCCACAGCCCAGCGAGGGAGUUGUGAGGCCGGCUCCCAGUUCCCCUGUAACCCUACUCUCCUCUCUCCCUGGAUCUCAGAGGUGACACCCAUUGGGCACUUCCAGCAUGCCCCCAGUUACUGUAAAUGUGGCCCCAGUGGGCAUGGAGCCAGUGCCUGUGGUUGUUUCUCCAGAGUCAAAAGAGAAGUCGAGGGAUGGGGCGUCGUCAGCUGGCACCGUCUCUGCUGCAGCAGCCACACUGUACUCUGCGCCGGCGUGGGGGCCCCUGCCUGGGCUGCGGGACCCUCCUGGUGCUGCCUACCUCCCCUGUCCUGUAGCCCCCUUGGUGGGCCCAGGGCCUAGGGCUCAGGAUCAAGUCACUCAUCUCAGAAUGUCCCCCACCAGUCCCCACCACAGCAGGCGCCUCGGGUCUCAGAUGUCUGCAGCCCUCAGCAGCUGCAGACUGCCCCUUACCAACCCAGAGAACCUGCUUUACUUUGCCCAGGGACUGCCUCCCCACGUGAACAUGGGGAACUUCGGGCCCUGCCUGGGGUCCUUGACCGCUCUCUGUGGGCCCCACCCACUCUGUCCUGGGAAAUGAAGAAGCAUCUUCCUUAGAUCUGCCCUGCUUGCAAAUCCGCUAGCACCGACCCCACCACCUGGUUCCGGCUCUGCACCCUUUGGGGUGCGGAUGUCGAGAGGCACCACGGCCUCACCUAGGCAUCUGCUUUACUCUGGACCAUAGGAAACAAGACUGUUUGGAGGUUUCAUCAGGAUUUUGGGUUUUUCACAUUUCACGCUAAGGAGUAAAGCGGCCCUGACUUCCGGUUGGCUGGCCAGCUGACCCCCUAGGGCCUUCAGACGUGUAUGCAAAUUAGUGAUGGAUAAGGAUGAGUCUUGGAGUUGCGGGCAGCCUGGAGACUCGUGGACUUACCGCCUGGAGGCAGGCCCGGGAAAGCUGCUGUUUACUCAUCGGCCAGCCACGUGCUCUCUGGAGGAAGUGGUAGUUUCUGAAACCGCUCAGAUGUUUUGGGGAAAGUUGGAGAAACCGUGGCCUUGCGAGAGGUGGUUACACCAGAACCUGGACAUUGGCCAGAAGAAGCUUAAGUGGGCAGACACUGUUUGCCCAGUGUUUGUGCAAGGAUGGAGUGGGUGUCUCUGCAUCACCCACAGCUGCAGCUGUAAGGCACACUGGAAGGCACACGCCUGCCAGGCAGGGCAGUCUGGCGCCCAUGAUGGGAGGGAUUGGCAUGUUUUAACAAAAUAAUGCACUUCCUCACCUAGUGGCCCUUCACACACCUUUUGAAUCUCUAAAAAUCCAUAAAAUCCUUAAAGAACUGUAA
Molecule: small RNA, 2119 nt
Filed under: Pongo abelii (Sumatran orangutan)
Lineage: Eukaryota; Metazoa; Chordata; Mammalia; Primates; Hominidae
Description: processed transcript
Source: RNAcentral